Long non-coding RNA from Gossypium arboreum, 472 nucleotides. RefSeq lists it as uncharacterized. The record is from RefSeq and is a predicted model, not a curated record. NCBI's taxonomy places the organism in Eukaryota, Viridiplantae, Streptophyta, Magnoliopsida, Malvales, Malvaceae. The transcript has 2 exons.
UUUCCCUCCUUUCGGAUUUCUUUCUUAUGUUGGUUCUUUUUACUCUCUCUUGCUUUCGCAUUUCAUUCGUUUUGAGAAACCUUGUUUUUCAUCUUUUUCUCCCGAUCAUUUUCUUGCUUAAUUUUACUUUAUGUUUAUCUAUUAUUUCAUAAUUUUUUUUAGGUUCUAAUUUUUGAAGGAAACCUGAAUAUGUACAGGAAAAUAUAAUAAUGAUAAUAAUAAAGAAAAGCACGGAUCUUUCUGUCACUUUUUAAGUCGGAAAUCUUACUGAAUGCCAUUCUUUCUCAUUUUAUUGAAAUUUUGGAUGGAACGAGGAGUGCUUCUCCAAUUGGGUGUGUCAAGUUCUAGAAAAAGCAGAUUCAAAGCAAGAGAUCUUCCCUUCUAUGUGUUCCCCUACCCUCUGAUUCCUCUUCCGAAUGCUUCUCAUCUGAAUUUUAUAUGUGAGACUGUCCUGAACAAAGUAGAUAACACA